This 287-nucleotide ribosomal RNA is filed under the name Priestia flexa. RNAcentral's name for it is "Bacillus flexus partial 16S ribosomal RNA". It matches the Rfam family "Bacterial small subunit ribosomal RNA", at positions 556 to 841 of the family's 1533-position model. The record is from RNAcentral. Lineage: Bacteria; Bacillati; Bacillota; Bacilli; Caryophanales; Bacillaceae.
GGGCGUAAGCGCGCGCAGGCGGUUUCUUAAGUCUGAUGUGAAAGCCCACGGCUCAACCGUGGAGGGUCAUUGGAAACUGGGGAACUUGAGUGCAGAAGAGAAAAGCGGAAUUCCACGUGUAGCGGUGAAAUGCGUAGAGAUGUGGAGGAACACCAGUGGCGAAGGCGGCUUUUUGGUCUGUAACUGACGCUGAGGCGCGAAAGCGUGGGGAGCAAACAGGAUUACAUACCCUGGUAGUCCACGCCGUAUACGAUGAGUGCUAAGUGUUCGAGGGUUUCCUGCCCUUU